Molecule: unclassified non-coding RNA, 280 nt
Filed under: Hevea brasiliensis (rubber tree)
Lineage: Eukaryota; Viridiplantae; Streptophyta; Magnoliopsida; Malpighiales; Euphorbiaceae
Source: RNAcentral
AUCAAUUCCUUAUGCUUCAGUUGUAGGCAAUUUGAUGUAUACUUAAACAUGUAUAAUUCCUUAUCUUGAAAUGGAUCACUAGAAAGCUACAAAAAAAGGUUUAAUGGUACCUGCAAUAAACUAAAGAAUUCAUGCUCAUUAUAGGAGAUCUAAUUAUUUAGAAGUGAUUGGAUACUCAGAUUCAUAUUGUGCUAGAUAUGGUGACAUUAAAAGUCUAUUUUGGCUACUUGUUGCUAUUAGCUGAACGAACAGUAUCAUGGAAAAAUGCAAAAGUUAGUUU